AAAUGAAUUGACGGGGGCCCGCACAAGCAGCGGAGCAUGUGGUUUAAUUCGAAGCAACGCGAAGAACCUUACCAGGUCUUGACAUCGAGGUAAACUUGCAGAGAUGCAAGGUGGAUUCGUCCGACCGAAGACAGGUGGUGCAUGGUUGUCGUCAGCUCGUGUCGUGAGAUGUUGGGUUAAGUCCCGCAACGAGCGCAACCCUUAUCUUCAGUUACUAACGCGUAAAGGCGAGGACUCUGGAGAGACUGCCGGGGAUAACUCGGAGGAAGGUGGGGACGACGUCAAAUCAUCAUGCCCCUUAUGACCUGGGCUACACACGUGCUACAAUGGUGUUGAACAAAGAGGAGCGAGCCAGUGAUGGUAAGCGGAUCUCAAAAAAGACAUCUCAGUUCGGACUGUGGGCUGCAACCCGCCCACACGAAGUUGGAGUUGCUAGUAAUCGCGAAUCAGAAUGUCGCGGUGAAUACGUUCCCGGGCCUUGUACACACCGCCCGU
This 495-nucleotide ribosomal RNA is filed under the name uncultured bacterium. RNAcentral's name for it is "bacterial SSU rRNA". It matches the Rfam family "Bacterial small subunit ribosomal RNA", at positions 903 to 1397 of the family's 1533-position model. The record is from RNAcentral.